AGAAAAAACUAUUUAAAGAAUUAUUUGAGAAUCAUAUUCCACAUGCUCUAGGAAUAUUUGAGAAACUUCUGAAGUCUCGUGGUGGAAAAUAUUUUGCAGACAACAAGGUAAAUGAGGUUGUUCAUAUACCAUACUAUGCUCCCUUGGUCUGUUUCAUAAAAGUAUUGAUAGAACUGAUAAAAUAUGUGAUAUGUCAGGGCCUUCGCUCUACCCUAACCUAACCCUAACCCUGACCCUAACCAAAUUAAUAAAAAAAUCCAAAGAGAAACAACUUUUGAAAUUGAUCAAAUGACUUAACGUCAGUUUGUAGAUGGAAACAGGUGAAGACCGUAAUAUCAUGCACGGGACGGAUCGUCUGUCAAAAGGACUUGGCUAUACAGCCUCGUUUUCGGCCUUGAGAUAUUCCUUUAUCUUGUUACUGAUGACCUGGUUG
Non-coding RNA from Paramuricea clavata, 433 nucleotides. The record is from the annotation of a GenBank genome assembly. NCBI's taxonomy places the organism in Eukaryota, Metazoa, Cnidaria, Anthozoa, Malacalcyonacea, Plexauridae.